This 74-nucleotide transfer RNA is filed under the name Spinacia oleracea (spinach). It matches the Rfam family "tRNA". From Rfam's summary of the family: Transfer RNA (tRNA) molecules are approximately 80 nucleotides in length. Their secondary structure includes four short double-helical elements and three loops (D, anti-codon, and T loops). Further hydrogen bonds mediate the characteristic L-shaped molecular structure. tRNAs have two regions of fundamental functional importance: the anti-codon, which is responsible for specific mRNA codon recognition, and the 3' end, to which the tRNAs corresponding amino acid is attached (by aminoacyl-tRNA synthetases). tRNAs cope with the degeneracy of the genetic code in two manners: having more than one tRNA (with a specific anti-codon) for a particular amino acid; and 'wobble' base-pairing, i.e. permitting non-standard base-pairing at the 3rd anti-codon position. Lineage: Eukaryota; Viridiplantae; Streptophyta; Magnoliopsida; Caryophyllales; Amaranthaceae. The record is from Rfam by way of RNAcentral.
UGCCAGGUAGAGUAAUUGGAAAACUCAUUAGGCUCAUGCCCUGAAGAUUGCAGGUUCGAAUCCUGCCCUGGAUA